CAGACAUGUCACCCCCUCCUCAGCCCAACAACCCCAGUUCUAUGCAGGCCAUCACAUUUCAGACUGUCUUUGUUAUAUCAUUUGCAUCAUUAUGUACCAUACUUUUCAAGAUGAUAGCACAUUAAUGACACUUUAUAUUGAAUAUUUAUAGUUUAUAUUAAGACAUACUACAGAUUAUAUGCAUUUUCUCCUCAUUUAAAAAAUCCUUUACUCCAUCUUGAAGGAAAAAAAAAAAAACCUUGCCUACAUCCUUAUUUUCUUUUUCUUUCUGUAAUAAACUUCUUCAAUGUCUGUACUUCACAAAACUCUACCAGCAGCUUUACUAAUGCUACUGCCUUCAAAGAUCAUGCAUGUCUUCAACUUGUCAUUUUUCUCAAAUCAUUAUCUCAACAUCUCACAUUGUUCCUUCAUUGCUUUUUUUAUUCUUUGAUUUCUCCCUUGUAAGUUUCCUGAGGUGCUCUCCUUAUCAUUUCUCACUGGGGUUCUUAUCAGUGAUGUUAUAAAGAACAUUAAGCUCUCUCCAGUUUACUGGUGAGUUGAUCCCAGAUUACUUGCUCAAAAAUGUGACUCUUCUUUCUCCACAUUUCUGAACAUCUCAGAUGUGAAGCUUGUGAACUUUCACAUGUCUAGGAUGCAGUUCCCUUUCCUGUCGCAGUUUCAGGUCUUUACUCUCCUUAUAUUUAUUUAGUUAAUGAUUUUUACCACUCAUAUUCUAAAACCUUCUGAUUCCUCCUUUCCAUUCUUUUUUUCUGUUUCAUUUCCCAUCUACUUUUCACUGCUUCAGGUACCUCCAACUGUCCAUCCUUCCUGAAUUUUUUGAAGGACUUCUGAUUGGCUCAUUUCUCACCACAUUAACCAUAUUUGCCAAAAA
This 871-nucleotide long non-coding RNA is filed under the name Bos taurus (domestic cattle). RNAcentral describes it as "long non-coding RNA NONBTAT022781". Lineage: Eukaryota; Metazoa; Chordata; Mammalia; Artiodactyla; Bovidae. The record is from RNAcentral.